This is a small nuclear RNA of Suncus etruscus (white-toothed pygmy shrew), 105 nucleotides long. The record is from RefSeq and is a predicted model, not a curated record. NCBI's taxonomy places the organism in Eukaryota, Metazoa, Chordata, Mammalia, Eulipotyphla, Soricidae.
GUGCUCGCUUUGGCAGCACAUAUACUAAAAUUGGAACGACACAGAGAUGAUACAUGGCCUCUGUGCAAGGAUGAUAUGCAAAUUUGUGAAUUUAUGAGUAAACAA